Molecule: transfer RNA, 65 nt
Filed under: Dolichovespula saxonica
Lineage: Eukaryota; Metazoa; Arthropoda; Insecta; Hymenoptera; Vespidae
Description: tRNA-Cys
Source: RNAcentral
AUCUUAAUAGUUUAAAAAAAAUUUUAAAUUGCAAAUUUAAAGAUAAUUUAAUAAAUUUUAAGAUU